This 253-nucleotide ribosomal RNA is filed under the name uncultured bacterium. RNAcentral describes it as "partial 16S ribosomal RNA". It matches the Rfam family "Bacterial small subunit ribosomal RNA", at positions 524 to 776 of the family's 1533-position model. The record is from RNAcentral.
UACAGAGGAUGCAAGCGUUAUCCGGAAUGAUUGGGCGUAAAGCGUCUGUAGGUGGCUUUUUAAGUCCGCCGUCAGAUCCCAGGGCUCAACUCUGGACAGGCGGUGGAAACUACCAAGCUGGAGUACGGUAGGGGCAGAGGGAAUUUCCGGUGGAGCGGUGAAAUGCGUAGAUAUCAUUUGGAACGCCAAUGGUGAAAACAGGUUGCUGGGAGUGUGCUGACGCUGAGACACGAAAGCCAGGGGAGCAAACGGG